Molecule: long non-coding RNA, 512 nt
Filed under: Naja naja (Indian cobra)
Lineage: Eukaryota; Metazoa; Chordata; Lepidosauria; Squamata; Elapidae
Description: lncRNA (ENSNNAG00000011529.1)
Source: RNAcentral
UUCUUCACCUAAUCUAUACUUGCACCUUUGUUUUUUUCUGCCCAGAUGUAAAACUUUGCUUUUCUCUUCAUUAAAUUUCAUUUUGUUGGAUGGAGCCCAUUACUCAAGUCUGUCAAGAUCUUUUUGGAUCCUGAGCUUGUCUUCUGGGGUGUUGGCUGUUGCUGCCAGCUUAGUGUCAUCCUCAGUAUUUCCAGACAAAGGGAAGGCCAAAAAACCCUCUUCUGGACAGCAGAGAAUCAGCAGCAGGUUUAAAAAGGGAAGCGAAUCCGGUACAUCUGGGAAACAACGUCUUUUCCCUUUUCUCCAGAUAACCACAAAAGUCUUCCCCUUCCCCAGCCAGGAAGAGACAGGAACAAAAAAAUAGGAGAAGAGUUUUGAGCUGAUAAACCAGUAUUUUAUGUGUAACUCAAGGAAACAUGAUAUAAAAAAAUAAAAGUGGAACAUUUCCAGAUUCAGAUAAGAAGGAAAUAUCUAGAAGUCUGUGUUACGGAAAUAAACGGCUUGAACCACCC